RNAcentral lists this ribosomal RNA (407 nucleotides) under uncultured bacterium. Its description in RNAcentral is "bacterial SSU rRNA". It matches the Rfam family "Bacterial small subunit ribosomal RNA", at positions 355 to 776 of the family's 1533-position model. The record is from RNAcentral.
UUAGGAAUAUUGCACAAUGGGAGAAAUCCUGAUGCAGCGACGCCGCGUGGGGGAUGAAGGCCUUCGGGUUGUAAACCCCUUUUAGCAGGGAAAAAUAAAUUGAUGGUACCUGCAGAAAAAGCACCGGCGAACUCUGUGCCAGCAGCCGCGGUAAUACAGAGGGUGCUAGCGUUAUUCGGAUUCACUGGGCGUAAAGGGCGCGUAGGCUGUUUAGUAAGUCUGAUGUGAAAUCCCUGGGCUCAAUCCAGGAAGUGCAUCAGAUACUACUAGGCUAGAGUAUGGGAGGGGAGAAUGGAAUUCCUGGUGUAGAGGUGAAAUUCGUAGAUAUCAGGAGGAACAACAGUGGCGAAGGCGAUUCUCUGGACCAUUACUGACGCUGAUGCGCGAAAGCGUGGGGAGCAAACAGG